UCACGUUUCCAAAUUUAUCAAAGGGCUGCGCAUUUGCGUUCGUCCAUUUCUUUUCUGUGGAAAAUUAGGAAAGAAAGAAUGGGAAAGAGGGUAGGGAGAGGUGGAAGAAGGGACGAUUUGCCGUCGCCGUCGAUCUUGAGUCGAUCUGUAGACUCCGUAUUCGAUUUCGUCCGUUUUGCUGAGUUCGAGAUCCUCUUCGUCCUCUUCUUCGUUGUAGCUUUUGUCAUUUUCAAGGAUCUGACUUCAAGGCCGGAGUAUAAUCAGAUCAUGGUGACGAAGCCAGAUUGGUGGCCUUACUAGAUAGACAGUAGACUGCACCUGCAGGGUGUUUUCCUUGUCUACUUCAAGUGUAUGGAUUGCUCUGUACAUUCUUUUCUAAAGUGCACUCAGAUGUCUGGAUCCGAUUUUGAGAUUUACUACUCCUUUCUUUACCUUUAUUGCAUAUGUUGUCUCAACUAGUUAGUUAUAUGGGAGAAGGAGAUUUCUUUUACCAUUGAGCUUUUUGUUCUUUGAAAUAUGAAGAAUUAGUGGAGUGUAGUUUUCUUGUUUUGUCCCUUCAUUUUGCUUUGGGGGUGGAAUGAGGAAUUGUUGAUUGAUAUUGUUAACAGGAAGUCAAACUUUGAAAUCAGGAUUUUAUGGGAAAGAAUUCCACCAAUUUAAGUA
Nicotiana tabacum (common tobacco) is the source of this 663-nucleotide long non-coding RNA. RefSeq lists it as uncharacterized. Lineage: Eukaryota; Viridiplantae; Streptophyta; Magnoliopsida; Solanales; Solanaceae. The record is from RefSeq and is a predicted model, not a curated record.